GAUGAAGAACGCAGCGAAAUGCGAUAAGUAGUGUGAAUUGCAGAAUUCCGUGAAUCAUCGAAUCUUUGAACGCACAUUGCGCCUCCUGGUAGUCCGGGAGGCAUGCCUGUUCGAGCGUCACCAAAUCCAACUCAAGCGGUUUUGCGCUUGGUCGUGGCGGAAGAGUCGGUCUGGUUGCCGUCUCCCCUCCGAAAAUCAACGGCGGAAAGUCACUGGCAGUCAGCGUAGUAGUAUCGUUCGCCGAACAUCCAGUGGCAUUCCUGCCGACGUACCCCCACAAUUCUCGUGAUUGACCUCGGAUCAGGUAGGGAUACCCGCUGAACUUAAGCAUAUCAAUAAGCGAGGA
RNAcentral lists this unclassified non-coding RNA (346 nucleotides) under soil metagenome. RNAcentral describes it as "partial contains 5.8S ribosomal RNA, internal transcribed spacer 2, and large subunit ribosomal RNA". The stretch from base 1 to 120 matches the Rfam family "5.8S ribosomal RNA", at positions 35 to 154 of the family's 154-position model. The record is from RNAcentral.